UCAGCACAUAUAUGUCACUUUAUUAAUUGCUGUUUCUGUUCAAAGAAUAUGUGGCUGCAAAUCUUUGCUAGACCAGGUAACACAGAAAAAGGAGGUGGAUAAGUCUCUCACAGAAGGCAACAAUGAUAAGAUCAUGUAUGAACUUAACAUCUGAGCGACAUUUUCUUUUCAGGAAAUACAGUACUCAGUUCCAAAAUUCCUCUGCUAAAAUUUUAACUAAAACCCAUGGAUAAGCAACCUUGAAUCCAAGACUUCAUUUCUGAUGAAGAGAGAACAGCAAAUCCAGCCUGCCCAGCAGGCCUGAGAGCUGUGGGGGCUGCUGGAGGUCCUCUGUGGUCUCCUACCUGUAAUUGGCCUCCUGGGGCUCAGAGAAUGCCGUUUGCCACACUGGUGGAGCUCUUGGCAUAAGCUACUUACAGCUGUUCAGAGCCUCUGUGUACAGCAGCCGGGGCCUGCUGGGUCUGGCAUCUGCUGACACAGCGCUGGGCUGGGGGGGAGGGGGAGUCAGGUUCUGAUUUCUCUUCUUGAGUGUGCACAGUAAGAACCUGCAGAUUGUAAAGGCUACGAGAAGCUGACCGUCAUCCUGACCACAGCCCAGAGACUUUAGGGGAUCACUUAGUACACUCUUUCUGCAGAGCCCUAGGACAUUUUCACCUUCCCCUCUUGAAUAACAAUAAAGAUAUUAUAACCUUUAUCUAGAUUCGUCAGAGAUCCUGAUUGAGGACCCCACAGCAGAGGUAGCAGAAAGGUGGGACAAACCCGUGCUCAUGCACUGGCCUUUUUCUUCUUUUUCUUUCCUUUUCGAUUUGGACCCUUACAGUGUUUCAUUUUGCUUUGUCUAGUUAAUUUGAGUUAGUUGCCAACUUAUAAAAACCAGGACAUUUCACAUUUUAAAAAAUCAGAUUAUUAAAUUCUCUGGCAACACAGUUUGAGUUCCAGCUUGGCGAUGAAUAACUGGGCUGGGGAGUGGUGGGCUCCUUGGAGAGGCCUGGGUGUCGCCUGCCAGCCCCCCAUGGAAAACUCCUGACCCUCAGGAUCCCAGACCCACCCUGCUCAACACCUCCUUUAGCAUUAGGGAUUGCCGCAAACACAACAUGCCUUUACAAUAAGGAUCUCAAACCUAAUGACCGAUGAUGAAUAAUACUUGGCUUGCUUAAAUGAUAAAUUUGCUUUUAAAAAAGUAAAAUACUACAUAUAAAUUCAAGAUCUGUGUUUCUCCUUCCCAAAUUUCAAUCUCUAACUAUACAGGCAACCACCACUCUUGAGUUUUCACUCUCUUGCUGGCUUAACAAAUUGUCUUCUACUUUAGUACCCAUAUUACUUUUUAGAAAUCUAAAUAAGAUCACAAUUACUUGUCUGAAAUUUUUCAGUGACAUUCUUCUGCACCAUGUAAUAAAAACUUCUAAUGCACAAUCUCUCUCCCAAGUCUUCUUAGAAUUGGGGCUCUUACCGUAUUGAGGUCUUCCUGACCACUACCUAAAACAGUUUCUCCCUCUGCUCUGCCCUCCUAUCCCUAGUUGCUCUUUAAAACAUCACCCUGCUUAGGUGUUUUGCAUUUGAGUGUGAUUCACACUCUGAAAUAAGAUCGUUUGCUUAUUUGUUUAUCAUGUUUCUUCCACUAAAGUAAAGGUCUGUGAAGUCAGGUGCUUCUCCGCCUUGGUUCUGCAAGAAUUCCCAGCACUCAGACUGAUCUCAGGCACGGAGUUGUUGCUAAUACAAUGUUCUAGUCAAUAAUUCUUCCUUCUCCUACCUCAUACUUAGCUAUUGUGUAAGCUCUGCAUCCUCUGACACUGCCUUGACUCCUAGAAAGAAAACUUUUAUCAGAUAUGGGGAAACAUAUUCAGAAUAAGAACAAAGGUCAAGCCUUUCUAAAAGCAUAUAUAAUUCUUCACUGAUUUUUCAGAAGGUAAGCAAAUGCCUUCCCACUGGAUGGCAGCCUUUCUGAGUGAGCAGGCCCAGAGGUUCCCGGUGAAACAGCUCUACCUUCCUUGCUUUUCUCUUUCAGAGGGCAGGGCUUUUCUUGGCUAUGAGUCAUUGCCCUGAGCCCUGGAUCUUAGGAUCCUUUUUUCUGUGUCUGUUGUGCUCUUCUUGCUCACUGUCCUCCACUAAAAGACUCCUGUACUCCGGACAGUCUUUCUCCAACAAGGAUUCAAGCUUCUCUCCUUGAAAAUAACUUCUCAAAAAGCUAGUCGGUUUAGGGUCCUGUCCCCUGCAGUCUCAGCCUCUGGAUCCCAGGGAGCCUAGUCCUUCAGAAUACUUUGCCGCUCACUACCCCCGAGUCUUUUCCGAUCUUGCUCCCAAUGUGCACUUGCCUCCUCAGGGCCAGGGUCAGGGUAUGCAAAACCGAGACCUCUACUACACUAGCAGCAGGAACACAGAGGAAGCCAGGGUGAGGAGGGUGCCGGGCCUGAGAAAGUCGAGCCCAGUGAGAGCUGAAAGGCACAGACCAGAUUUGAUCCAGCCCACUGCAGUCCGGGAGGCCACUCUGUCCAGUCACAACUGUAGGAAAGGGCAAGGGAGGGGUCCUAGGAUGAGCAUUUAAAUUCAGGCAGUGGUUAUGUCAUACCUGGACAUGUAAAUGGUAAGACUGAGAGACUAGGUAAAGGGUUGCUAAGCCUUCAUCGACAGUCCACAUCCAAUCAGGCUUGGCAAGUUGUCCGCAACCCUUCCUCUGCCAUAAGCCUCUCAUUGGUCAGCAAGCCUAGCCUGGUUAUUUCAGUUUUCAAGAAGUCCAGAGACAAGAGAUUCCAAGACUGCAAUUCAGCCACUCAGAGAAAUGAUCGCUAUCUGGGUCUUUCUUUCUUUCCCCUACGCCAUCUUUAAACGUUGGCUCUCAAGGGCUGUCACGGGUACCGGAUGGCGCCACAGCUCCGAGAUCCAGGUCCAGGGGCAGGAAACGGACGGCUUCCUGCCUCCAUUGUCUUUUUAAAGUUGAGACAAAAUUUCUCAAAAAUGGAAAGGGACUGGAAUGCUAACCCUAGUGCAGCGGCCAGCAAAUGCCCGUCACAUCUCGGUCAGUCUUUCGAGCGUGGAGCGACCCUGAGAAUCGCAGUCGGUUUCCGCGGAGAAGAGCUACUGGUUACCGCACUUCCAAGUACGUGAGCAAGGUCGGACUCUAUUAGGAUGGAAAGGGCAAGGGCAGCUGGGGAAGAGGUCUGCUCGCAGGGCCGGGUUGCGGCGCUCCCGACUCCGGGCCUCUGGUCCCGCCAGGGGGCUGCACUGAAGCUGGGCCUCGGCCACGAAGGCGAAGCCGGAGACGGCCGUGUCCCUCCGCUCAGGGCCUCGGGACCGGCCCCGGGCAGCACCGGCGGGAAAGGCCGCCGGGAAGUGCUGCAGCCCCACCCUCCGUCCAGGCGGACCCAGGCCGCGGCGGAUGGGGCGACGAGAGAGGUCCCGCAGGGCAGCGGCAGGCGCGGUUCCGGGCUUCCGGCCUGGGGGCUUCCGGCCUCCGCGAUUCCGGCCUCCGGGCGUCGUCGCUCCGCAGAGGGCGCCCUAAGGUCACCGGCAGGGCCAGGCGUGGCCGGGCCGCUUCUGCGGAGCCAACCCGGCUCAGCCUCCCGCUGCUGGAUCCGAGUCCGGGCCCGCCCUUCCUCCGCAAGCCUUCCUGGCCAUGUCAGCCUCACGGGCCAAAAACCGGAUACUGGAACGAAAGACAAGACUUAAGAGAGGAUGAGAAAGAUAAAUUCUGAACAACAAAACCAAGCAAGGAGCCAGGCAAGAACAGCGACUGCGAUGGGCCAAGCUUCUGAAAUAAAGAACAAACUUACCAGCUGGAGUUUGAAGAACUGAUUGGAAUCCAGUCCUGGCAACUGUAUAAGAAGAAGAGAAAGAGUCUUCCAGUAUAAAAUUCGAAUACAAUCAGAAAUAGCAAAAACAGUAUGUUUAAUUCAGCACUGAGAAAGACGAGGCUCUAAGUCCGAAGGCCUCACAGACUAAUUUUGUGUCCCAGGGAGGUGUUGGAUUUGGACACACACAUCCAUUGCCGUGCUACCGCUGGGUGACUGAAGAGACCCGAGAGCUAACAAGUAUCACCAGGAACCAGGCACUCCCUUGACAGCCACGUAUAGAUGUGUAAAAUAGCAAAGAAUCUGAGUGCAAGUUUGUACUUCAUCACGCAGUCUGAAACUCUGCCUAGCUCUUUCAAGCCCAGAGAAACGUGCAGCUCAUGCACAAACCAGUCCUGGCCUUAAACGAAGUAUUAAUGUUACCAUGGAUGUGGCCACUUCUGUAGCAUCCUGCACGACAGGUGUUCCCCAAAGAACUCUGACACUCGUCAAAUCCGUCCCUCUUGAAAGGCAGUGGUAGCGCGGGACAUGUCUUCUGGAAAAUUACACAUGUUCAGACAAAAUUGGGGCAUUUGCCACAGAGUUAUUUGGUAUUAAGUGAAAACUUCUGCCUGAGAAAACAAAGAAGUUUGCAUGAAGAAAAUGUGGAACUUCUUAUCCAACUUAAUUUGAGACAGAAAUUCAAAAAAUGAGACAGGA
Long non-coding RNA from Heterocephalus glaber (naked mole-rat), 4484 nucleotides. Lineage: Eukaryota; Metazoa; Chordata; Mammalia; Rodentia; Bathyergidae. The record is from Ensembl.